Long non-coding RNA from Drosophila serrata, 742 nucleotides. Lineage: Eukaryota; Metazoa; Arthropoda; Insecta; Diptera; Drosophilidae. The record is from RefSeq and is a predicted model, not a curated record.
GACAUUGCCGUCAUUGUUAUGGGAAAGUACAAUUGCUUUAGCAUAUUUGCAUGCUUGGCGGUUAGAGUCCGGGCCUUGAUUAAUUUUUGCAGCCAGGACGAGCGGCUUAUUCAAGACCGACCCACCGCACUCAUAAAGUAAUCAGGUCCGCCAACUGCCGGGGAUUUGUCACCCCCAUUAAAGAGCGUUUGAUGUAUUAUUCGGUUCAUUUGGCCGACAGGUCUGCGCAAACAGAACGCUGCCAGUUGAGCAGCCGCCACCGCUGGCAAUAACAAGAAGAACGCCGAAAUCAAGAGCGGACUGCCGGUGACAGGGACUAAGUCGCAGUGUAAAUAGGACUAUUCGAACAAACAGGAUCAGAUCAGAAGCGACCGACCGUUGGCCGGCUUAGUAAAGCUCGCACGUCCAUUUGUGGUAGCUCAGUAACUCUGUCAAACUAUACUUAAGAUGCGUAAAUAUGAGGACUACAUAUGGAUAUUGUUAAGCUUAAGACAUUCUCUUUUUAAAGCCUUCCCGCUUUACAACUUUGAGGUUAAGCGAAUUAUGCAUUUACCGGCGGUUGAUUUUACAGAGUAUUUAUGGUCAAAUUUAGCAUGUAUGAUUGAAUUGUCUGCCGCCUGAUCCAUGAAGUUACAUUUCAAGUAAUAACAUUAUUUCGGCCUACCAAGCAGCGAAAUUAACAAAUUCAUCCCCUUUUUCUAUGAGCAAGACGGAAGUUUGAAGUUUGAAGAAUAUACCCUUA